GAUGAACGCUGACAGAAUGCUUAACACAUGCCAGUCCACUUGAACUUCGGUUUGGGUGGCGGACGGGUGAGUAACGCGUAAAGAACUUGCCUCACAGAUAGGGACAACAUUUGGAAACGAAUGCUAAUACCUGAUAUUAUGAUUUUAGGGCAUCCUAGGAUUAUGAAAGCUAUAUGCGCUGUGAGAGAGCUUUGCGUCCCAUUAGCUAGUUGGAGAGGUAACGGCUCACCAAGGCGAUGAUGGGUAGCCGGCCUGAGAGGGUGAUCGGCCACAAGGGGACUGAGACACGGCCCUUACUCCUACGGGAGGCAGCAGUGGGGAAUAUUGGACAAUGGACCAAGAGUCUGAUCCAGCAAUUCUGUGUGCACGAUGAAGUUUUUCGGAAUGUAAAGUGCUUUCAGUUGGGAAGAAAAAAAUGACGGUACCAACAGAAGAAGUGACGGCUAAAUACGUG
RNAcentral lists this ribosomal RNA (454 nucleotides) under uncultured bacterium. RNAcentral's name for it is "partial 16S ribosomal RNA". It matches the Rfam family "Bacterial small subunit ribosomal RNA", at positions 28 to 507 of the family's 1533-position model. The record is from RNAcentral.